UCUUUUCAGCAGAACAGCUUGCAGCUGGUGCUUCAUCUUUAAGGGUGAGAAUCAACUUGGAGUGUCCUCCGGGUUAGGCGGCAAAUUGGUCCCGGUUUUGCCCCUGCCGCAGGGCUGGCCCGGGAAGGCGUGGGCUUAGAUUAGCCGUGUCCUCUGCCGUUUGACGGGGUGACACGAGCCCGCAGGGCUGAGCGCAGGGCCCGGAGAUAGGACCAGCCAGCAGGAAUGCAGAGAAUGUUUCUCUUUGGACUCUAUCGAGGCACACAGACCAUGGGGAUUCUGUCCGCGGUGACAGCCUUAACAUUUGCCAGAGCCCUGGACGCCGCUGUAGAAAUGGCAUUGCCCACCCGGAAAGUGAGAAGAUCCUGUAAGGAGGCAGAAUGACGGUUUUCGGAAACAUCCCGUCAAGGAGAGAGAAACAGCUAAAUUGAAAUGGGCUCUUAAAAUCAGCCCAGGGUUCUCUGGAUCAGUGAAAACAGGUAUUUGUAAAAAUGAAAACACGGACAAGGAAUUGGGCUCUAUUUCCCUACAAGCCUCUUCCCCCCCCGUGCCUCCUAAAUAUAUAUAUAUAUUUCUAUGAAGCAAAAAUACAUUUGUUUUCUUUUUCAUCAGGGUUAUCAGACGUGGCUGGAGAAAAGAUUAGUACAAGUCUAAAAACGGACAUGUAAUACGUGUCAAGCUCCUUUGAAAGGGGGUGAGAUGGCUAUGAUAACAAAACUUAAAAUGUGUGUUUUCUGACAAACAAAAAACCCAUUUUGAUUUCUUGACCUGUGUUUGAGCUCAGCGUUCAGAUGACACAAGGCUACCCCCGCACAGGUGUCAGGGGCUCCCAGCAUGAACCCGGUGACAGAACAGUGACAAUGCCACUGGCUUCGAAACGGGAGCAAAAAUAACAGAAAAUGGCUCUGUUAGGAAAGAAGCUUCUGCAGGGCGGAUCCCUCAGAAAGUAAGUCCCCAGCAGAUGCCGACCCGCGCAGCGCUGAUCCACGUCAGCCCAGGUUCUCCAAGCCGUGUCUGCGACACCUGAGAACCUGGGACCUCGAGUGAGUCAGAGACCACCGAGCAGGACCCUUGAAAGGCACCAAGGUGCUGAAAAAGCGGAGGGGAGCCUGGCGCAACGUCUCCGCAGCCGCCAAAAGGCCCCGGAGCAAACGGACACAGAGAUGUGUCUGAUGAGGUGAUGGAGAGGGUGGAGGGUGGCGGUUUCGGUGACGGCGACAUUCCUCUGUCUGGGCAGGACGUGGGGCAUUGGGCUGAGAGGUCCCUAUGUGAAAAUCGCAGGAGACGAACCACUUCGGGCCAGUCCUUUUUUUUUGUUGUUGUUAAAUGUCUCUUUGGCCCCCAAACCGUUAUGAAGAGAAAAAUGCCGAAGUCUGCAAAUCCAGGGCCAUCACUGUGUCAGCUCCGAGCCGAGAUGUUUCCCAAAUGAACACCUGGAGGACGUAAAUCACCCGGCCGUAAACACUUCAGGCCCGGCGCAGGCUGCGGGCUGGGCGGGGCGGCCUCCUCCCACCGGCCAGGGUCCGUCAACCAGGCGCUGGCCUGCACUCAUCGGGGCUCCUUUCCGAGAGAGACCCCCACCCCCCAGUCUGGGAGCAGAAUCCCCUCACAGAGGUCACUCAGAUAACGGACAGACGUGCUCCCACCCUGGCCACCGGCCGACUUAUCCCGGGCUGGUAUUGGGGAGUGAAGCUGUCAGAGGUUUAUGUCGUUACGAAUGGCUUUACGAUACCUACAGAGGGGACCAGGGCCCCGGGCUUCAAGGUGGCUAUUUUUGAAGGCGGCAUGUAAUGAUAAAAUCCUAAAAAAAAAGUCUUUCUUUUUAAAUAUCCUGAAAGUAAAAUCAUAACCAUAGUAAUAACAAAACCAAAAGGUUUGUAUGAAAUGUCCCCAACGUUAGGAGAUGUCAAAGGGCAUUCGCUCUUUUAAGACAAACAGAAUUCAAAUAUUAAAAUAACUUUCUUUCUCCCCACUGUCUUAAAUUCCUGGGAACCCCCAUUUGGUGUAUGCGAUUGUCAUAAAAAUCCCUGAAGGGGGGACACAGAUGGAGGCCAGCGGGAUCCAUCUCAGAAAGAUCACCUCCUUGGGAAUUUCUUUACAUUCUGAUGCUCUACUUAAAAUAAGAAAAUCUCUCCUUAUAAUUAUCUGGCUAGGAGGAGUCUUUUAAAUGAUGUCUUCUGCCUUCAGCCAGACAGAUGUGAGGACGAGCAAAGUAAACACUACAAAACAGCCUUCAGUCCUGGCUUUUUAUGGCUCUAUUCCUUUCCACCCACAGCACGGAUCAGAGGAACGUAGAGAACUCGAGAGUAGGGACUCUGUCUCUGGGAUCAACCUUGCACCAAAGAAAAACAACCCAGAGAAAUUAUUCUGCAGCCUGAAAUGAAGCUAGGAUCAAAUGGUUGCUCAUCGGAAGGAAUAUUUAAAUUGGACAAGUCAAAUCAAGCGUUAUUAAAUAAAGCUUGUUUAAUGUGUCUCCAACGGAAAACGUCUUUUGAAGGGCGGUUUAACCUGAUAUUACAAAUCUGGCCCAGCGCAUGUCUUCAGGCUCCAUCGGUGCAUACGGGAAUUUGUGUUCAUACCACGAAAAGUGUGCUACCCUCUCUUCACAAAGUAUUUUUUUCCCCAUGUAUAAAAUGAAAGCAGAAAGGUUUUUAGGUAGCUAUUGAAAACUGUUAAUGUCAUAUAAUAAAUAUGAGACAACUGA
Equus caballus (horse) is the source of this 2704-nucleotide long non-coding RNA. RefSeq lists it as uncharacterized. The record is from RefSeq and is a predicted model, not a curated record. NCBI's taxonomy places the organism in Eukaryota, Metazoa, Chordata, Mammalia, Perissodactyla, Equidae.